RNAcentral lists this ribosomal RNA (451 nucleotides) under uncultured bacterium. RNAcentral describes it as "partial 16S ribosomal RNA". It matches the Rfam family "Bacterial small subunit ribosomal RNA", at positions 29 to 523 of the family's 1533-position model. The record is from RNAcentral.
AGCGAACGCUGGCGGCAGGCCUAACACAUGCAAGUCGAGCGGACGUAGCAAUACGUCAGCGGCAGACGGGAGAGUAACACGUGGGAACGCGCCCUUCGGUUCGGGAUAACUCAGGGAAACUUGGGCUAAUACCGGAUACGCCCUUACGGGGAAAGAUUUAUUGCCGAAGGAACGGCCCGCGUCCGAUUAGCUUGUUGGUGAGGUAACGGCUCACCAAGGCGACGAUCGGUAGCUGGUCUGAGAGGAUGACCAGCCUCACUGGGACUGAGACACGGCCCAGACUCCUACGGGAGGCAGCAGUGGGGAAUAUUGGACAAUGGGCGCAAGCCUGAUCCAGCCAUGCCGCGUGGGUGAUGAAGGCCCUAGGGUUGUAAAGCCCUUUCGGCGGGGAAGAUAAUGACGGUACCCGCAGAAGAAGCCCCGGCUAACUUCGUGCCAGCCGCCGCCGUAA